RNAcentral lists this ribosomal RNA (253 nucleotides) under uncultured bacterium. RNAcentral describes it as "partial 16S ribosomal RNA". It matches the Rfam family "Bacterial small subunit ribosomal RNA", at positions 524 to 776 of the family's 1533-position model. The record is from RNAcentral.
UACGUAGGGACCGAGCGUUGUCCGGAAUCAUUGGGCGUAAAGCGCGCGUAGGUGGCUUCGUAAGUCCGCUGUGAAAGUCAAAGGCUCAACCUUUGAAAGCCGGUGGAUACUGUGGAGCUAGAGUCCGGAAGAGGCGAGUGGAAUUCCUGGUGUAGCGGUGGAAUGCGCAGAUAUCAGGAGGAACACCAAUAGCGAAGGCAGCUCGCUGGGACGGUACUGACACUAAGGCGCGAAAGCGUGGGGAGCGAACAGG